This 91-nucleotide transfer RNA is filed under the name Roseobacter cerasinus. Its description in RNAcentral is "tRNA-Thr". Lineage: Bacteria; Pseudomonadati; Pseudomonadota; Alphaproteobacteria; Rhodobacterales; Roseobacteraceae. The record is from RNAcentral.
GGUCGAAAUCGGGGAUGGCGGCGCGUGUGGCCUCGUGGGCCGCGCCGAAAGUCUUGCCUGUUGAGAGGUGUUCGAGCCACGUUGCAGCCCC